This 303-nucleotide ribosomal RNA is filed under the name uncultured bacterium. Its description in RNAcentral is "partial 16S ribosomal RNA". It matches the Rfam family "Bacterial small subunit ribosomal RNA", at positions 507 to 807 of the family's 1533-position model. The record is from RNAcentral.
AGCAGUCGCCGCGGUAAUACGUAGGUGGCAAGUGUUGUCCGGAAUUAUUGGGCGUAAAGGGCUCGCAGGCGGUUUCUUAAGUCUGAUGUGAAAGCCCCCGGCUCAACCGGGGAGGGUCAUUGGAAACUGGGAAACUUGAGUGCAGAAGAGGAGAGCGGAAUUCCACGUGUAGCGGUGAAAUGCGUAGAGAUGUGGAGGAACACCAGUGGCGAAGGCGACUCUCUGGUCUGUAACUGACGCUGAGGAGCGAAAGCGUGGGGAGCGAACAGGAUUAGAUACCCCCGUAGUCCCUGUCUCUUAUAC